UCAACUCUUAUAGACCGAUUGUUCAUAGUACUAGAACUAUAGAACCCCACAGAUACCCUAUUGCUCGAGUUUAUAAUUAUUGAUUGUUAAACGAACCUGAACGCACUUUCGUCAUGCAUCAGUCGACCGAAAUCGUUACAAUGAGCAGGUUUCGUUUAAUACUACUACUGUCCAUUCAUCGCCGUGAAGCAAAGCAGUACCGUUAUAUUAUGACACAUUGCUCAUGUGCAAUGAGCGCGUCACGUGAAGACACCACCGAUUGUCUGUGUCUGCUUCGUGACGUAUGUUUACACUUUCAGCUGUCUGGUCAACGAUUUUUUUGGCGCUAGUUGGAUGUCCAUAGGGUAAACUUCUACGUACAUGUUCAAGGCCGUCAAUCUGUCGUCUGCUACUGCUGCUGCUGCUGCUGCUGUUGUUGUUGUUGCGUUUCACAAGCGGAUCGCAUCGUCACGCACGAAACCCGUCGAAGUUCAUAUAUCAUAUCCCUACGCGUGCAAAAAAGUCCGAGUACUUCAGACCAAGAUUCGUCAUCAGCUGCAUGGCAUGAGAUUCUAGAAAAAUUAAUACCCUGACGGGUGAAGUACUGCCGGGACUGGAAAUAACACGUAGAGGCUGUCU
Long non-coding RNA from Varroa destructor (honeybee mite), 618 nucleotides. The record is from RefSeq and is a predicted model, not a curated record. Lineage: Eukaryota; Metazoa; Arthropoda; Arachnida; Mesostigmata; Varroidae.